UCUGGUGCCAGCAGCCGCGGUAAUUCCAGCUCCAAUAGCGUAUAUUAAAGUUGUUGCAGUUAAAAAGCUCGUAGUUGAAUUUCGGGGUUCUACCGUUGGUCGGGCUUAUUGUUUGUACUGGCGUGUAGAAUUUCUACCUUCUGGAGAACCAUCAUGUUAUUAAUUUAGCGUGGUGGGAAACCAGGACCUUUACCUUGAAAAAAUU
This 205-nucleotide ribosomal RNA is filed under the name Gigasporaceae sp. RNAcentral's name for it is "partial small subunit ribosomal RNA". It matches the Rfam family "Eukaryotic small subunit ribosomal RNA", at positions 560 to 767 of the family's 1831-position model. The record is from RNAcentral. Lineage: Eukaryota; Fungi; Glomeromycota; Glomeromycetes; Diversisporales; Gigasporaceae.